RNAcentral lists this ribosomal RNA (746 nucleotides) under uncultured bacterium. RNAcentral describes it as "bacterial SSU rRNA". It matches the Rfam family "Bacterial small subunit ribosomal RNA", at positions 62 to 791 of the family's 1533-position model. The record is from RNAcentral.
UAGAACGCUGAAGAGAGGAGCUUGCUCUUCUUGGAUGAGUUGCGAACCCGUUAGUAACGCGUAGGUAACCUGCCUGGUAGCGGGGGAUAACUAUUGGAAACGAUAGCUAAUACCGCAUAAAAUUGAUUAUUGCAUGAUAAUUAAUUGAAAGAUGCAACUGCAUCACUACCAGAUGGACCUGCGUUGUAUUAGCUAGUUGGUGAGGUAACGGCUCACCAAGGCGACGAUACAUAGCCGACCUGAGAGGGUGAUCGGCCACACUGGGACUGAGGCACGGCCCAGACUCCUACGGGAGGCAGCAGUAGGGAAUCUUCGGCAAUGGGGGGAACCCUGACCGAGCAACGCCGCGUGAGUGAAGAAGGUUUUCGGAUCGUAAAGCUCUGUUGUAAGAGAAGAACGGGUGUGAGAGUGGAAAGUUCACACUGUGACGGUAUCUUACCAGAAAGGGACGGCUAACUACGUGCCAGCAGCCGCGGUAAUACGUAGGUCCCGAGCGUUGUCCGGAUUUAUUGGGCGUAAAGCGAGCGCAGGCGGUUAGAUAAGUCUGAAGUUAAAGGCUGUGGCUUAACCAUAGUAUGCUUUGGAAACUGUUUAACUUGAGUGCAGAAGGGGAGAGUGGAAUUCCAUGUGUAGCGGUGAAAUGCGUAGAUAUAUGGAGGAACACCGGUGGCGAAAGCGGCUCUCUGGUCUGUAACUGACGCUGAGGCUCGAAAGCGUGGGGAGCAAACAGGAUUAGAUACCCUGGU